RNAcentral lists this long non-coding RNA (208 nucleotides) under Glycine max (soybean). RNAcentral describes it as "long non-coding RNA (GMAX_LNC001054)". Lineage: Eukaryota; Viridiplantae; Streptophyta; Magnoliopsida; Fabales; Fabaceae. The record is from RNAcentral.
CGAUAAUAGAAUUAGGAAAGGCAAAGCAAAGGACGACCUUUAGAGCAAAAAGGUGUGUUCAUCGCAACGUUGUUUGGAUCACAACAGGGUAUGGUGCAUGCGGUCGACGCGAACGCGAUGCAGAAUCGUUUGGAUCUUGACGCAUCGUCGUUGUUUGGAUCUAGGUGGAUGUGACACCGUGAAUAUCUCCACGAGCGUAGUGUGAUGC